UGGGGAAUCUUGCGCAAUGGGCGAAAGCCUGACGCAGCGACGCCGCGUGCGGGAAGAAGGCCUUCGGGUUGUAAACCGCUUUCAGGAGGGACGAAGCCACUCGGGUUAAUAGCCCAGAGGGUGACGGUACCUCCAGAAGAAGCCCCGGCUAACUACGUGCCAGCAGCCGCGGUAAUACGUAGGGGGCAAGCGUUGUCCGGAUUUAUUGGGCGUAAAGAGCGUGUAGGCGGCCAAGUAGGUCCGUUGUGAAAACUGGAGGCUUAACCUCCAGCUGUCGAUGGAAACCAUUUGGCUAGAGUCCGGAAGAGGAGAGUGGAAUUCCCCGGUGUAGCGGUGAAAUGCGCAGAUAUCGGGAAGAACACCCGUGGCGAAGGCGGCUCUCUGGGACGGUACUGACGCUGAGGAGCGAAGCAUGGGGAGCGAACA
This 426-nucleotide ribosomal RNA is filed under the name uncultured Actinomycetes bacterium. RNAcentral describes it as "bacterial SSU rRNA". It matches the Rfam family "Bacterial small subunit ribosomal RNA", at positions 355 to 774 of the family's 1533-position model. The record is from RNAcentral. Lineage: Bacteria; Bacillati; Actinomycetota; Actinomycetes.